UGAUAUUUGGAGAAAAAAUACCGCACGAGUUCUGUUAAUCAAAUUGAUACAUCACCAGUUAAUGAUAUUCAGGUAACUACUCAAUACGCUUAUCUUAGAGAGGAACAUGUGUUAUGGCAGUUUCCUUUUACAGUCUCUUUUUUGAACCCUGUGACUGACUGCAGCCUAUCUGAUUGUGUGCUUCCAAAAAUCGGUACUACCCUCCUUUCCCUCAAGUACUUUUUCUCCUUUUUUAAGGCACGUGUAGCUAAUAGUUUUACUGUUGUGACACCUGCCCUGUUGUUUGAUAUAUUUUUUUAAAAAUUCCAUGCAUUGUAGUUGCUAAUACUGUGUUUAGUAGCUAGAGAAGGGCAAAGAAACCAUUGCAGCUCCAUAAACCCAAACUGAUUAGCAUGUUCUCAUGCCAAUGUUAGGUUUGAGCACUGUCUUGAAGCAGUUUUUAGUCUUCUCCCUAAGUGUAAAAUCAGUAUUACUGUGUUUUUCUUCUAGAAAGUAGAAGCACUAUUAUCCUCAGAUAAAAGAACUUAUACAGUAUUACAGAUACUUUAAAGUUUAUACAUAUAAAAAGUCACUGAUACAUUGACACGUGAUGCAAUUUUUCUGUAAAAGGAAUUAAAUCAGUCUUCUGUUUCCUGAUCCUUCUUUGGGGGCAGUGGCGGAGCAUUGUUUGUCUCCAGCCUCUUUCCUGUUUUAUUGCUUUUCCUCUCUAGUUUUUCAGCCAAAUACCACAGAGGAAUAUUUUAUUCACUAGGCAUUGUUUAUGUUAUUAGAAAAGGUUUUGAGGUGUAGUCCCUUAUCAGCUUCCCUCGUGUAGUUUUUUUGAUAUCCCUGUACGUGCAUGUGUGAGCUGUGUAGAUUUCAUUGGACCCGGGCCCUGCCUUGCUGUGAAAAAUGAAAGAUUGAUGGAGCUGAAGAGACGAUGAGCAGGACAGUGAGUGAGGUGUGACUGCUCUUGUGCCUGCUUCCAGAGCUGCAUGCACGUUUUGCAUUACUCAGUUAGAGAGCAUAAGCAACGGUAAAAUUAAGGACUGGAUAGGAAGGGACCUCCCUCCUUUCCUAGGUAGAUACACUCUGCGCUGAACUCAUGUCACACUCCUUUUUGCUUAACCCUUCUCUAGCAAUAUGACUCGUAUAGUCCUUGCUGUGUGUUGGGAAAUUUCAACUAGAAGAAUGUACUAGUUAUAUCCAGUACCCUUCUUUGGCCCACAUUAGUUUUGAAGUUGCUGUACUGAGUGCUUGAAUAGGGGAGAUAAAAUCCAUAUCCUGCACUUGGCGAAGUGCUUCAGUCAUUGACCUGUAGCGGGGCAGCACCAGUAUAACUGCUUUCCCUUUCUUUGCAUCCCAAGAGAAAAGAAUGAACGUAGAGUCAGAGGGCAGUAGUGUAGGUGUCUGCCAGGAGAGAUGCUCAGGUAGGAAAUUCCACUUUCAGGUACGUGCCUAAUGCCAGGAGGGAUUUCAGACAUAUUGUGGCCUUUGCUCUUCCUGCUGACUGCUGUAUGCGCUUUUCCCACCCCUCAAGCUUUCACGUUUUCAAUUCUUUUUCAGGAUUUCAAGUUGUGAAAUCUCAGUUUGCUAUAGGAAUGAGGAUGUCUGAUCUGAAUAUAUGAGUUUUUGCAGGAGUCAGUGCCUUCAGAUUUAAACAGGGAGAAGGAGAAAAAGUUGUCAAGGGACAAGAAUUUGAUGAGAAAGAGGAAGUGGUUCUUGGUUAGUGUCUGCAAGGGCAGAGGAGUUCAGCUGCUAUGGUUCUGCGGUUAGAUGGCAUUACAUCAUUAGCAAGCAGAUUGUCUGGUUGGAAAGGAAUGAGGUAAAGAGUGCAUUUGUGUGGGUUAAGGGGACUGAAGAAAGAAGCACCAGGGCUAUGUGUAUAUAUAUAUUCUUGUCUAUAUUAUAAGCAUAUAGAUUCUAUAUAUGAGGCAGAUGUUAUAUAUAGAGAUAACAUGACUAGAAGAGAAUGACAGUUUCUCUUGAUUUCUUUUUUUUUUCUUCAAAAAAAACACCCACCAACCCUUCAUUGAACGGCAUCAUGGAGAAAACGGAUCGACGACUAAGCGGAGGGGACCACUGAGGGCUACAAUUCCUUCGCAGAGUACAAGUACGGCAAGUGUAGAGUCGGCGUAAGAGGGCAUUGAUCACACCUCCGUAGAAAAUGCAGAUAAAAUGAUGCAGCAGUGAGAGAAGCGCGCGGGGAAUGGCACUGCCAAGGGUUGCGGGCUCCACACAUUCCCAUCUCCGCAAGCCGGUGGAACUCCUGCACCUUCUGCCUCUUCAGAGACAUUUUGGACGCUCGGCUCUUGCGGCUAAUGGGCCCAGGGCAGGGAGAGGAGCGAGCGUGCUUUGUUGUGUGUUCAGACUCGCUAACAGGAGGUGAUUUUGUGCCCGAGCUGUGGCUGGUUUCCCCACAGUGGUACGGCAGCGGGUAGGUUAUGCAGGCUGGGAUUUCCAGAGUCUGCAGCCUGGCUGCUGCGUGUUCAGAAACAAGUGGGUGGCUCCUAGAAGCUGGAGCAGAAAGGCGGCAGGGCUGGUGUUCAGACGGAAGCACGCAAGCCUGGAGGUGCACCCCGUGCUCGUGUGCAUCCCGUGGACCUGAAGCACCACUAUUCAUACAAGUCAGCCCACCCGCUGCUGAUUUCUGUAGGUUUUGGAACAGGGCCUCUUUGAGGCUGUGAAAGCCCUGGGUUUGGCGCUUCAGACUUAAGAGAGCCUGUUUCUGUGGGUGUAUUUGCAGGCAGUGUUUUAGUAAACUGAGUGUGCGGGUGAGCCCUAAACACUUAUUUAGGGAAAUAACUUUAUGUUUGUCUCAUAAUUGGUAGAGGAGGAUGAUAUGAUUUGAGUGAGGCUACCCACCUGGUAGGAGUAAGGAUUCGUGAGACCAUUCUUUAAACUUGUGGUGGGUACGUGAACUCCCAAAGGUCAAUUAUAUAUAAUUAAUAAUAUAAAUAUAUACUUUUCAGUGGAUUUAUGCCAGGGUAAAUUUGAUUCCAUGUGUUUUUAAGCCUGUACUAAACUUUCCACUGCUUUUUUGGAGGUAGAUUUUAGGACAAAGUUCAGCUAAGGGCUCAAACCGAGACGAUGAGGUAAUUACACAGAGGCAUCCACAUUGCAGGAUUUUAUCCAAACCAAACCUGAACUCCUAAUUCUUGUUCAGUUCUCCUACAAUGGGGGUGAGGAAAGGAGACCAUGAACUGAAAAAAAAAAAAAAAAAGGAUGGAGAAAAAAAAGCCUUUUAACUGUUUGUUCAAAUAGAUAUUAGUUCCUCUUUCUGCAAGCAUUUCUUGCAGAACGUGCAGAUUGUGAAUGGGCACAUUCGCUAAGCAAGAGCAGCGUCAAAAGCAAUGAAAAAUAAUCAUGGCAGUAUACGCUUACGGUAUUUCUCAGACAAAUGCACUAGUCAACUCUCCUAGGACAUUGCCUUCUUUGUAACCCAGUCAGAUGAUAUGCAAAUGUUCCAAACACCAGGCUGGUGAAUAGAAACGAAUAUAUUAAGUUUCCGUUUACAGACACAGAACAUCCAAAUGCUAUAGGCAGUGAUUUCAAACUGGGAAAAACUGGAUGGGCUUUUAGAGUUAUAAAACAGUCGUUCCAAAUGCCCCUUUUCUAUAUGACAGGUACUGGUCCGUCUAGAAUUAAAAGCUGGGUUUUUAACAGCACAUAACAGUAGAAGCUAUGUGUAUUUCCUGCUAUCAUGUGGCUGUAAGAGGUAGCAAUUUGUGAAGCGCAGCUGGCUUCAGCAGGGAAAGCUCUGAGCAGUGAAAACAAGCUCACCAUCUGAGAGAGGGAUGGGGGCUGUGAAACGGAUGCAGAACAUUGAUGAAACCCACAGGAAAUCACUAAUUAUGAGAGUCACAACAAUUAUAAAAUGGGGCGCUUACGCUGUCCAUUGGCAGUCGGGGCUAUGCUGUCGUAAGGCUGUGCUACGCGGUCGCAGACUCAGUUGGGCAUAUACACAGAUGUCUGUGCUUCUCUAUAGUUAGAUGCUGAAAUGCAGAGCUGCUUUUGGGUGUGUGUUUUUACUCAGAGCUCUGCACGAAGAGAACAUUUUGGGAUGCUUCAGGAGCAUCCAUUAGUAUAAAGUACGAGCGUGUCAAUGCUUAUAGCUGUUUGCUUUGUUUUGGCUGAUGUUUUCCUGUGUUCUAGAAUAAAUUGA
Molecule: long non-coding RNA, 4144 nt
Organism: Cygnus atratus (black swan)
Lineage: Eukaryota; Metazoa; Chordata; Aves; Anseriformes; Anatidae
Exons: 4
Source: RefSeq, a predicted model, not a curated record